This 1412-nucleotide ribosomal RNA is filed under the name Bacillus subtilis. Its description in RNAcentral is "bacterial SSU rRNA". It matches the Rfam family "Bacterial small subunit ribosomal RNA". The record is from RNAcentral. Lineage: Bacteria; Bacillati; Bacillota; Bacilli; Caryophanales; Bacillaceae.
GCAAGUCGAGCGGACAGAUGGGAGCUUGCUCCCUGAUGUUAGCGGCGGACGGGUGAGUAACACGUGGGUAACCUGCCUGUAAGACUGGGAUAACUCCGGGAAACCGGGGCUAAUACCGGAUGGUUGUUUGAACCGCAUGGUUCAAACAUAAAAGGGGGCUUCGGCUACCACUUACAGAUGGACCCGCGGCGCAUUAGCUAGUUGGUGAGGUAACGGCUCACCAAGGCCACCAUGCGUAGCCGACCUGAGAGGGUGAUCGGCCACACUGGGACUGAGACACGGCCCACACUCCUACGGGAGGCAGCAGUAGGGAAUCUUCCGCAAUGGACGAAAGUCUGACGGAGCAACGCCGCGUGAGUGAUGAAGGUUUUCGGAUCGUAAAGCUCUGUUGUUAGGGAAGAACAAGUACCGUUCGAAUAGGGCGGUACCUUGACGGUACCUAACCAGAAAGCCACGGCUAACUACGUGCCAGCAGCCGCGGUAAUACGUAGGUGGCAAGCGUUGUCCGGAAUUAUUGGGCGUAAAGGGCUCGCAGGCGGUUUCUUAAGUCUGAUGUGAAAGCCCCCGGCUCAACCGGGGAGGGUCAUUGGAAACUGGGGAACUUGAGUGCAGAAGAGGAGAGUGGAAUUCCACGUGUAGCGGUGAAAUGCGUAGAGAUGUGGAGGAACACCAGUGGCGAAGGCGACUCUCUGGUCUGUAACUGACGCUGAGGAGCGAAAGCGUGGGGAGCGAACAGGAUUAGAUACCCUGGUAGUCCACGCCGUAAACGAUGAGUGCUAAGUGUUAGGGGGUUUCCGCCCCUUAGUGCUGCAGCUAACGCAUUAAGCACUCCGCCUGGGGAGUACGGUCGCAAGACUGAAACUCAAAGGAAUUGACGGGGGCCCGCACAAGCGGUGGAGCAUGUGGUUUAAUUCGAAGCAACGCGAAGAACCUUACCAGGUCUUGACAUCCUCUGACAAUCCUAGAGAUAGGACGUCCCCUUCGGGGGCAGAGUGACAGGUGGUGCAUGGUUGUCGUCAGCUCGUGUCGUGAGAUGUUGGGUUAAGUCCCGCAACGAGCGCAACCCUUGAUCUUAGUUGCCAGCAUUCAGUUGGGCACUCUAAGGUGACUGCCGGUGACAAACCGGAGGAAGGUGGGGAUGACGUCAAAUCAUCAUGCCCCUUAUGACCUGGGCUACACACGUGCUACAAUGGACAGAACAAAGGGCAGCGAAACCGCGAGGUUAAGCCAAUCCCACAAAUCUGUUCUCAGUUCGGAUCGCAGUCUGCAACUCGACUGCGUGAAGCUGGAAUCGCUAGUAAUCGCGGAUCAGCAUGCCGCGGUGAAUACGUUCCCGGGCCUUGUACACACCGCCCGUCACACCACGAGAGUUUUAACACCCGAAGUCGGUGAGGUAACCUUUUAGGAGCCAG